This 759-nucleotide ribosomal RNA is filed under the name uncultured bacterium. RNAcentral describes it as "bacterial SSU rRNA". It matches the Rfam family "Bacterial small subunit ribosomal RNA", at positions 736 to 1496 of the family's 1533-position model. The record is from RNAcentral.
UAGUUGGAUCCAUUAGAACGCCGCCCAGUGGUGGAAUUCGGUUAUUAGAUACCCUGUAGUCUGGCAGUAACGGUGCACGCUGGUGUGGGGAAAUCGACCCCCUGGCGUGCGGAGCUAACGCGUUAAGCGUGCCGCCUGNGGAGUACGGUCGCAAGAUUAAAACUCAAAGAAAUUGACGGGGACCCGCACAAGCGGUGGAGUAUGUGGCUUAAUUCGAUGCAACGCGAAGAACCUUACCUGGGCUUGACAUGUAAUGAACAACAUGUGAAAGCAUGCGACUCUUCGGAGGCGUUACACAGGUGCUGCAUGGCCGUCGUCAGCUCGUGUCGUGAGAUGUUUGGUUAAGUCCAGCAACGAGCGCAACCCCUGUUGCCAGUUACCAGCACGUGAAGGUGGGGACUCUGGCGAGACUGCCCAGAUCAACUGGGAGGAAGGUGGGGACGACGUCAGGUCAGUAUGGCCCUUAUGCCCAGGGCUGCACACGUACUACAAUGCCCAGUACAGAGGGGGCCGAAGCCGCGAGGCGGAGGAAAUCCUAAAAACUGGGCCCAGUUCGGACUGUAGGCUGCAACCCGCCUACACGAAGCCGGAAUCGCUAGUAAUGGCGCAUCAGCUACGGCGUCGUGAAUACGUUCCCGGGUCUUGUACACACCGCCCGUCACAUCAUGGAAGCCGGUCGCACCCGAAGUAUCUGAAGCCAACCGCAAGGAGGCAGGGUCCUAAGGUGAGACUGGUAACUGGGAUGAAGUCGUAACAAGG